Cygnus olor (mute swan) is the source of this 1643-nucleotide long non-coding RNA. RefSeq lists it as uncharacterized. The record is from RefSeq and is a predicted model, not a curated record. Lineage: Eukaryota; Metazoa; Chordata; Aves; Anseriformes; Anatidae. The transcript has 3 exons.
AAGUCUGAAAAAAAAAAAAAGAAAAAAAAAAAAAAAGAUGAUCAGUGUUGGGGAUAAGAAGAGCACUUAUGCGCCCUGACUAGCCUCACCUGAGGCCUCCACCCAAAAGCCCCGCCCUCAGCCCCAUUCCAGCCCAGCCUGUGGCCAUGCUCUGGCCUUGUCACGUCUCUACUCUGCCCAGCCAUGUGCCCUGUGGGCUGUCAGCCACCUCAUCCUACUCCAUCCCAUGUCGUGGCUGUCUCUGACCCUGCUUCUCCUCACUGGGCCUCAUCCUGCCCUGUUUCUGCUGACUCACAGCACAGCUGGGGGUGUCAGGAACUGUCCUGGACCCAUCAGAAACAGCUCAGGGGUGGGAGCGUGACAGGCCCCAGCUGCAGCGGGCGGUGCAGUGCCCUUACGGACAGGAGUUGCUUGGUAUGGUCUGUGCCGCAGUCCAGGCAAGCGGAUCGGAAGGGAAGAUAAGAGCAACUGAAGCCAAAUCCAUGGAGUCAAGCGCUGUCCUCAGGACUGCAGCCAGUAACUGAGGAAAGACACUGGUUUCACUAGUCCACUUGUUUGAUGCUAUUCCUGCUAACUUUUGUCACCUCUGCUGUCUCUGGACACCGCAAGACACUGAGGAGGCCACCUAAAACAAAGAGCCCCUUUCUGCCAAUGUAUCACCACGACAGCGGUCAAGCAGAGCGUCUCCACUAAAUCUGUACACUGGGGAACCAAAAGAAUUACUGAGAGCCCUGCCUUUGCCUAUGAAACCUUCCAUCAGUUUAACAAGACUGCAUAGGUUGACAGGACAAUAAACAUGAGUUAUAUUUUGGGUGAGGCUUCUGCCCGGAGGGGUGGGGAAGAACACAGGUCAUUGAGUGUGAAGAACUUAUUUUUGUAGUCAAAUAAAUGUUAAUAUGUAAGAUGGGUUUGUCUUCUUCCAUAAAUAUGAAAGUAUAUAAGUCACACAAUAACUCAACAAACAAGCUGACACUGUCUAUCAAUAAAUGAUGACAAUAGGGAAGAAGGAGAUAAAAAACUCAUCCCCAAAACAUGAGGAAAAUAAUCAGUGCUUGAAGGUGAAGGUGCUGCCAGCUCCUACAAACCUGUGUCUGCCUUGGAGAUGACCUAAACCAGAGAGCAGGACUGCACAGCAGAAAAAGAACCAAGCUAGAUGAGGCAGGCAGGAACUGGUCGCUACUAUGGAGCAGAGAGCUGCAGCUCGUGGGGAUAUUUCCAUCUGACAGCAGCAUGUGUGGUAUGGUAGCUCUCAGCCACCUGCCUCUUAGCUGUAAGGAUUCUUCAUGGAUUUCCCGUGUGACAACUUCUGAAAAAGAAAAAAAAUCUGUUAUCUAUUCAUGAACUACAAACCUUGCCAUAUGGCUGCUAUGCAAUAAAUCAAGGCACAUAUAGAUGUUUUUUUUCUGUUGUCUGAUGCUCACCACCCCACCGAAGAUUUGCUUCAUCCACAACAUAACAAGAUCUAAAAGCUUUACAUCUUUGGGCUUCAUUACGUUGGUCUCUGUUCAGACAGACUGGACAGAAGAUGUAUGCUAAACAAAUCAGGAGGAAUGUCUGAGUGCACCCAACUGAAACAGAUUUGUUUUCUGAGUAUAUAAAAGCUUUUUUAUCACUCCUGGCACAUACAUUUCAAACGUGUUAUA